Carassius gibelio (silver crucian carp) is the source of this 2099-nucleotide long non-coding RNA. RefSeq lists it as uncharacterized. The transcript is spliced from 6 exons. Lineage: Eukaryota; Metazoa; Chordata; Actinopteri; Cypriniformes; Cyprinidae. The record is from RefSeq and is a predicted model, not a curated record.
UAAUAGUCUUUUCGUGUUGUAACAGUUUUUGUAUUUUACAGCAAUGCAUCGAAUGUCAAAAGAUCAUUUUCCUCCUGAGCUGAACAAGAUGAGUUAUCAGAAUCUGAAAUCGCCAUAAAGAGAGUAAAGGUGUGUGGGUAUAAAUCUCGCAGUGGAUGGGUAAUUAAAUCAAGUCUAUAUGUCUGUGUAUUAAAAAGUAAUUAUAUAUUAUAUGAGUUAUAUGUAAUAUUAUUUAUAAUAUUGUAAGUCAAAUAUAUAUGCUAUAAAAUAUAAUACACAGUAAGUAUGAAUUUGUGUUUUAGAUGAUCUGGCUUUUGUGGCUGACUUCCUGUCCGAGCAUUUCAGUGCUGUGAGUGAAAAAGAAAUGCAGUCUUUUUAACAAAUGUUUUGUGUGGAGCAUUUUUUCUUUCCUCUAUUUCAGAAUGAGGAGCUGUUUGAUCGGAAAGGGAAGUAUUUCAAUGUAGAGCGCAGUACAGAUGGGAGUUAUUUUUCUUAUUUCAUAACAUACUUGGUUUGUUGUUGCUUUUUGCAGUGCUUGAAGGAGGAAGAUGAAGACUUCAUCUCCACCCAACAUGGAGGAAAACCAGUGGCAGUUGGCAGUUUACCUGACAGAAGUCUCUGCACUUUGUAAAGAGAAUGAUUGAGGGGUCGAUUGAUCUGUGCUUACAGAAACGGGCCGUGAUUGGGCAUUCAAUAAAACAAGCUGCAUGUUUGUGAUUGUACACUGUUCCUGAGAGGUGGAAUGAUAAGAAGGACAGUAUGCAUUAUGUUUUCUUCUGCAUGCCAGAGAUCUCACCUUCUAAAAUCUAUAUUCUGAGGAGAGCAACAGACCCCAACAGCUUCAUCUAAACUCUCGAGCUUAGGAUGAAGAGUUCACCUGGGACUUUACGCUCAGGCUGGAGCAGCAGACUGAAGGGAUCCCAGUCCAGUGUUUGACCUGGGGAAACCAGAGCAGAGAGAUGGACAACAUCAAGGCUCAGUUUGUGGCUGUUAAUGGGAUCUGCAAAGUGGUCUCCGCGAUAAGACUCUGCAACUUGAGGAAAAUUGUAGCCAUUUUGGACAAUAGUUUAUAUUGAAUAUAUUGAUUGAUGUAUGAAUACAUAAAAAAAAAAUCUAGGGUUGGUAAUUUAACACGUUAAUUUGAUUAAUAAAUUUUUAACGCAUUUAAUGCACUAGCCCCGCCCCAGACCUAUGUGCAUCAUCUGUCAUUUCACAUAGUCAAUUGAUGAUGACUAUUAUGAGGCAAGGCAACAACUCACUGAUCCUAGAAAAAUCCCUAAAAUCCCAAGAUAUGGGGCAAAAUGCCAGUUUUAAAUUGUGUCUCAUAUUUACAUCACAUAGUUAAGAAAUAUCACACGAGCUAUAGGCUAAGUGCAUUAUCACACAAGUGCAAAUGUGAUACUCAUCUUAUACAACAGUUCAUUAAGAAGUUAAUAUUGUGUUAUUUUAGACACAAUGUUGUCUGUUUUGCUCAAUUUUACCAACCAGAAGAUAAAGACAAAGCAGAACUGUUCUGCAUUUGAAGUGGUGCUGCACAGACCGAUCGAUUUAUGAUAUCAAAGUACCGCGAGAAGGAUUCAAAAGCACAAAGAGUCGACUGCUCUCUGAACUCUUGCGGUUCUUUGAUGUCACACACCGAUCAUUCUGAUGGUUAUGACCCGCUAAUGAUUCAAUAAACCAUUCAUAAAGAGCCCUUUACUUCACUCCUGAAUGAAUCAGCCAUUUGAACAAAUCGAAUGAAUUAAGGACUCUAUUACUUAUUUAUUUAGACAUUUACCACCAUCUACUGGCAUUUUUAGUUUAUUAUUUAGAGUAUCAUUUCAUUAAAGAAAUAAUUUCAUAUUUUCAUAGUAAUAAUAAUAAAAUUAUAAAUAAAUUAUUAAACUUAUAGUUCACCCAAUGACUAAUCAGAGUGAUGCUGGUGAAGGUAGAGACGGAAUAGAAGUUGCUGAGGUGGCUCAGGUAGCAGGUCAAGGGUCAGGAGACAUUUUGAAUGAGACUGCAGGAUCAGACACACUUUGAACUCUGACCUGAGUUCCAACAUGUUGUCCACAACUGAACUAUGGACUCCUCUGUUAUUCCUUGUCUUGUUCGUUUUG